RNAcentral lists this unclassified non-coding RNA (1288 nucleotides) under Hevea brasiliensis (rubber tree). Lineage: Eukaryota; Viridiplantae; Streptophyta; Magnoliopsida; Malpighiales; Euphorbiaceae. The record is from RNAcentral.
AGAUCCUAUUGGUCUUCCUCCUGAUGCAAGGAAACCAUCCUCAGGAGGAAGACCAAUAGGAUCUAGUCCAAACCUAUUAUCACCAUUGGCAACUGUAGAGCAUAUACCCACUGAGCAUGAUCCUGUACCCUCACAUGGCCUGGAAAUCAAGCCCUCAAGCCAAUUGACACCCGAAUCAAUUUUAGAAGCAAAGGAACCUGAACACAGUUUGCAAAAUUCGGAAGAAAAAAGGGAUUCUCAUGACAAAUCUAUAUCAACACCAACUAUGCUAGAAGAUCACCCUCAGCAGGAUUCAUUAACCUUGCAUGGAGAAACAACAUGGGCACCAAGUUCAUUAGCUUUGCCACCAAUCUUUGAAGUUGGAAAACCAAGUGGUAGUAAGCUUCCUCGUCCUCGGAAUCCUCUCAUUGAUGCUGUUGCUGCACAUGACAAAAGCAAGUUGAGAAAGGUAACAGAACGAGUUCGCCCUCAGAUUACACCAAAAUUAGAUGAAAGAGAUUUGCUACUAGAACAAAUACGAACUAAGUCCUUUAACUUGAAGCCUGCGGCUGUGAUGAGGCCUAGCAUUCAGGGUAUUCAGGAUACAAAAACCAACUUGAAGGUUGCGGCCAUAUUGGAGAAAGCAAAUGCAAUUCGCCAGGCUUUGGCUGGAAGUGAUGAAGACGAUGAUACAGACAGCUGGAGCGAGUGAUUCUUGAGAAAACUUGCUCAAGUGCAGCAUUUUACCGUGGUGGUUAAUGCCUGCUUUAGAUACACAUUAAUUCUCCCCAAAAGUGAAUAGCAAUCACUGCAGUUUGGGUAAAGUGAAUAGCAACCACUGCAGUUUGGGUAUUCUUUUCCGCUCUACGCUAUAAAUUCAUGUAUAGACUUUCUGUUCCACUCGUCUUCCUUGUCACACAUAGUUGUUGAAGAUGCACCGGUUGGUAUGCUGCCCCCUGCUCUUUCUCAGGAACCCAAUCCAAGGCAAAACGUUUAUUUUACAAGAAUGGCUCAGCGUGCAAGCGCUUAUCCAGUCAAAAUGUGUGUAUAACUGUAUUAGUAUCUCAGUGGGUGUAAAUUUUGUUGGAGUGGCGUAAAUUUUGAGGUGAAGCGCUCAUAUAAUGAAAUUUUGUAAUUUGUAUGUAGGGAUUUCGUUAUAUACACCUCUGCCCCAAUUAGAAUGUUCUCUAGUUUAUGGAAUGAUUGUAUGAGGUUUGCAUGAUUCUUUACAGAAUUAUGGAUGUACUGGCACCAAUCAUUGAUUGUUACACAAUCAGAUUUUGAAUAUAGUGCAGUAGGAAGUUUGGAU